Molecule: long non-coding RNA, 4664 nt
Filed under: Brassica napus (rape)
Lineage: Eukaryota; Viridiplantae; Streptophyta; Magnoliopsida; Brassicales; Brassicaceae
Description: long non-coding RNA (BNAP_LNC015937)
Source: RNAcentral
ACGCGGGCAAUGCAGCUAAACAAACUUGCAAGCAAAUGAAUUGCGACACUCAAGACAAAAAUCGCAGUUGUUCUUGUUGUGUCACUAAAUCUGGGAAGCCCCUCUGGUGUCACAAGAGCAAAGAUGAAUGUACGCUUAGGUGUACCAAACCACUUAACUCGAGAACUUAAAUAAGGAAUUCUAAAAAACUAAAUAAAGUUUUAUUUAAUGCCUAAUAUGUACCUUUUUGAGAAAACCUAAUAUCUUCUGCCAUUUCCCAUUAUAUGGAUAACACUGACUUAUUUGGAGUCCAACAAGUUUAUGCCUAUUUUUGUGUUUAAAGACUUUCAUAACCUACGUAAUAUACAAUAGUUUAAUUUAUCUUCUUUUUCAUAUUUUUUUUGCCAUUGAUUCUUAAAUCUUUCUUCUGAUUAAAAGUAAUAACUAAAAAUAAGUUUUUUAACUUCAUAGUUUGUUAUGGUAAAUGAUAUGUUUUUUUCUAUUUUCUUCUGCACCAUAUCGCUACUACAUGAGCGUCUCAGAGCAUCUCCAACCCCACUCCAUAAUUUACUGCAAAUUAGAGUGGGAAAUGGAGUGAUGAACAAACAAAAAACCUUUUUUUUUUUUUGCAUUCUCAAGUCUAUUGUCAUUGUUAGUGGCACUAACUUAGUGCAAGUCUUCUCUACAAGCAGAAUAGAAACAGAUGAAUACAAGUCAACAAGCCAGCCCAUAAUGUCGGAUAAUGUUUUGGCUAACUUAAACUGAAUUAAUCUCCUUAUAUAUUAUUGGGAAAUUUGCCAAAACAGAACAAAAAAAUGGCAUGGUUGACCAUUCGGUAUAAUACCAUCAUUAAGUUGUCCCUUUAGUAUAAUUUUUUUCAUAAUACCAAAACUAACCUUUGAUUAAUCAAAUUAAAUAUAUUAAACCCAAUUUAAAAGCUUAAUUGAACUUUAAAAAGUUUAAUAAAAAGUAAAACAAUCUUUUAAUUUAAAAUUUUUAUUUUUUUUAAAAAAAUUUAAUAAAGCUAAAACGUUCACAAACAUUUUAAAUUUUUUAUAAAAACAAAAACAUGUAAAACGUUUUUUUAAUGUUUUAUUAAAAACUUUCUUAUAAAGUUAUAUUUUUAUUUUUAUAAAGUUAUUUUUUUAUUUUUAUAAAGUUUAUUUUUAUUAAAGUUUAUUAAAAACGUUUUACAAAGUUUUAUUUUUAUUUUUCUACAAACGUUUUCAAAACGUUAAAAUUAAAAAGUUUUUUUUUAUUAAAAGGUUUAACAAAAAGGAAAGAAUGUUUUUUUUAAAAAAGUUUAAAAAUAAGGAAAAAUAUUUUUGACAAGGUAAAUUGACCUAUACACAUUUUAAGGAAGUUAUAAUAUUUUAGAAUAUUUUCUUAACAGAAAUUUUCUUAAUUUUCGCAAAAAAAAACAUGUUUUCUUAUCCGUAGAAGACACCUUCUAUACUGUGUAGAACAAUGACAAAAGUUCAGAAUGCAAUUUCUACCUCAUGUAGACGUACGAGAGUGUUUAGAUUUCGCAUUUCAAGAAUUUUAGAAUAUUUCAUAAAAAUAGAAACUGCAUUAUGGAGAAAAGUAGACAUCUUUACAAUUAAUAGAAUUCGCAUUCUCCAUAUUUAGAAUUUUAAUUAAAAGUAGAGUUUUUGUUCUAAAAAAAAUAGAUGAACUUGUAUAAUCUAGAAUUUGUUUUCUACUAACUCAUUUUCUGUAGAAGACAAAAUCUACUUUUAGUAGAACAUAAUUUAAAUUUUUUAUUUAUUAAGUUUUUCAACUAAACAAAAAUACGAUUUUGUGUAUAUGAGUGUUUUAUUAAUUUUCUAUAUUUUUAAUAAUUUUUUUGAUUCAUGAAACUAUUUAUUUCAUUAAGUUUCAGAAAUGGAAAGGGUAAAAGGAAGACAAAAUGGACAAAAAUGUUUUGGCAAUUUUUCCUAUAUUAUUUGAGAAUCAUUAAAAAAGAUGUAACAUUUAAUUUUGUAUUAAUUACAUUUUUACCAAACUGAGUUGUAUUGUAUUACACUCUUUUUAGUUAGGUGACAUCACUAUAAUCUACCCCCUACCCAAACUAUCCGAAACCCAAAUCAAACCAAACCGAUACCCGAAAUGCCGAAGCCUAAUUUUUAUUAACAACUUAACAAAGAAAAAGAGUUAAAACACAAAAAAUAAUUACCACACAAUAUUUAGAAAAAGUCAAACAAUCUAAACCAAUUAUUAUGGAUCGGCAUGAAAAACUUACACUUCUAUCUAUAAAUUAAUCUCCACCUUGAAUAGAAAUUUCAACCAUCAAACUAGUAAACAUAAAAUUCAAAAAAAAACAAAUAAGUAACGUGCUCGUAUCAUAAGAAUAUCACAAAGAACAAUAUGUCGUCAUCACAACUUGCUAUUUUUUGUAUCAUCAUGAUUGCUUUAUUUCCUCUUCAUGAAUGUAUGUGUUUAUACUUGUUUCCAUUUGUUCAUCAUCUAUCUUUGCCAGCAUUGCAAACACAUCAUAAUAUCUUUGAUAAUUAUUUUUUUCUGCCAAAUGAUAUUGUUGUUACUUUUUGUUUGUAUAGUCGUUCAUGGCCAAGGUCUUAACGCGGGCAAUGCAGCUAAACAAACUUGCAAGCAAAUGAAUUGCGAUACUCAAGACAAAAAUCGCAGUUGUUCUUGUUGUGUCACUAAAUCUGGGAAGCCCCUCUGGUGUCACAAGAGCAAAGACGAAUGUACGCUUAGGUGUACCAAACCACUUAACUCGAGAACUUAAAUAAGGCUUAAUGCAAGUCUUCUCUACAAGCAGAAUAUAAAAAGAUUAAUACAUGUCAACAAGCCAGCCCAUAAUGUCGGAUAUUGUUUUGGCUAACUUAAACUGAAUUAAUCUGCUUAUAUAUUAUUUGAGAAUCAUUAAAAAAGAUGUAAUAUUUAAUUUUGAAUUAAUUACAUUUUUACCAAACUGAGUUGUAUUGUAUUACACUCCUGUUUUUAGUUAGGUGACAUCACUAUAAUCAUUCUCAAUAAAAAUUAGACUCACAUUUUAUUCUCUAAAUUAAUUACAUGGACCCACAUGUGUUGUUAUGUUAUAUUAUUUUGUUAUUUUUAUGCUAUGUUAUUUCAUUAAUUUUAAAUGAAGAUGAAUCAAACGGUCAUAUACCAACGCUUGCACAUACACACACAAACUAUUAGCUUCCACUCACUUGCUCCCAUCGCCUGUACAUACAAACACUAACAAACUUAUUACACCAAUAUAUACAUACACAUAGGCCCGAGCAAAAAAAAAACCGGAACCGAAGAACCGAACUAAAAUACCUGAAAUCGGAAUCAGAACGAAAACCUCAAAUAUCCAAAUGGUCCUAUAUUUCUAUUAGAAAUAACCGAAUCGAGAAACGAACGGGUACCAUAAUAUCUUAAAAUAUUAAUUAUAUAUAUAUAUAUAUACAUAUAACAUAAUUAAAUAUAUAUUGGUAAUUUGAAAAUCUAUUAAAAGUAUCCAAAAAUAUUUGAAGAAAACUUAAUUCUUAUUAAGUAUCCGAACUAUCUGAAAGUAUCCGGAUAUUUUUUUCCAAAAUAUCCAAAGUAAUUCGAAAUAUUCAAGAUUUUUACCCGAAUCAUCCUAAUUAUUCAAUAUUUUACCCAAAAUACCCUAUAUUUUACCAGACAUACCCGAACCACCCGAAAUAACCUAACCAAAACCAAAUGAAGACCGAUUUUUUUCUCUGUAUUUUUCUGGUUCCUAGUUUUACUAUCCGAACAGAACAGACCCCAAAAAUAUCCGAACCAAACCCAAACCGAGAAUAGGUCAAGUAUUAAAAGGAUCCUCUAGCCCCCUAGCCAAACUAUCCGAAACCCAAAUCAAACCAAACCGAUACCAGAAAUGCCGAAGCCUAAUUUUUAUUAACAACUUAACAGAGAAAAAGAGUUAAAACACAAAAAAUAAUUACCACACAAUAUUUAGAAAAAGUCAAACAAUCUAAACCAAUUAUUAUGGAUCGGCAUGAAAAACUUACACUUCUAUCUAUAAAUUAAUCUCCACCUUGAAUAGAAAUUUCAACCAUCAAACUAGUAAACAUAAAAUUCAAAAAAAAACAAUAAGUAACGUGCUCGUAUCAUAAGAAUAUCACAAAGAACAAUAUGUCGUCAUCACAACUUGCUAUUUUUUGUAUCAUCUUGAUUGCUUUAUUUCCUCUUCAUGAAUGUAUGUGUUUAAACUUGUUUCCAUUUGUUCGUCAUCUAUCUUUACCAGCAUUGCAAUCACAUCAUAAUAUCUUUGAUAAUUAUUUUUUUCUGCCAAAUGAUAUUGUUGUUACUUUUUGUUUAUAUAGUUGUUCAUGGCCAAGGUCUUAACGCGGGCAAUGCAGCUAAACAAACUUGCAAGCAAAUGAAUUGCGACACUCAAGACAAAAAUCGCAGUUGUUCUUGUUGUGUCACUAAAUCUGGGAAGCCCCUCUGGUGUCACAAGAGCAAAGAUGAAUGUACGCUUAGGUGUACCAAACCACUUAACUCGAGAACUUAAAUAAGGAAUUCUAAAAAACUAAAUAAAGUUUUAUUUAAUGCCUAAUAUGUACCUUUUUUUGAGAAAACCUAAUAUCUUCUGCCAUUUCCCAUUAUAUGAAUAACACUGACUUAUUUGGAGUCCAACAAGUUUAUGCCUAUUUUUGUGUUUAAAGACUUUCAUAACCUACGUAAUAUACAAUAGUUUAAUCUAU